Molecule: ribosomal RNA, 497 nt
Filed under: uncultured bacterium
Lineage: Bacteria
Description: partial 16S ribosomal RNA
Rfam family: Bacterial small subunit ribosomal RNA
Source: RNAcentral
GACGAACGCUGGCGGCGUGCCUAAUACAUGCAAGUUGAGCGCUGAAGGUUGGUACUUGUACCAACUGGAUGAGCAGCGAACGGGUGAGUAACGCGUGGGGAAUCUGCCUUUGAGCGGGGGACAACAUUUGGAAACGAAUGCUAAUACCGCAUAAAAACUUUAAACACAAGUUUUAAGUUUGAAAGAUGCAAUUGCAUCACUCAAAGAUGAUCCCGCGUUGUAUUAGCUAGUUGGUGAGGUAAAGGCUCACCAAGGCGAUGAUACAUAGCCGACCUGAGAGGGCGAUCGGCCACAUUGGGACUGAGACACGGCCCAAACUCCUACGGGAGGCAGCAGUAGGGAAUCUUCGGCAAUGGACGAAAGGCUGACCGAGCAACGCCGCGGGAGUGAAGAAGGGUGUCGGAUCGUAAAACUCUGUUGGUAGAGAAGAACGUUGGUGAGAGUGGAAAGCUCAUCAAGUGACGGUAACUACCCAGAAAGGGACGGCUAACUACGUG